CAGGAUCACAGACGUUUAAAUUACACUCCUUCUGCUGCGCCUUACAGCAGUAGAAGGGGUGAAAUUUAAACGUCUGUGAUCCUG
Molecule: microRNA precursor, 84 nt
Organism: Gorilla gorilla gorilla (western lowland gorilla)
Lineage: Eukaryota; Metazoa; Chordata; Mammalia; Primates; Hominidae
Rfam family: mir-3179 microRNA precursor family
Source: Rfam